UACGUAGGUGGCAAGCGUUGUCCGGAUUUACUGGGCGUAAAGAGCGCGCAGGCGGUCGUUCAAGUCGCGUGUGAAAGCCCCCGGCUCAACUGGGGAGGGUCACUCGAUACUGAUCGACUCGAAGGCAGGAGAGGGUAGUGGAAUUCCCGGUGUAGUGGUGAAAUGCGUAGAUAUCGGGAGGAACACCAGUGGCGAAGGCGACUACCUGGCCUGUUCUUGACGCUGAGGCGCGAAAGCUAGGGGAGCAAACGGG
Molecule: ribosomal RNA, 253 nt
Filed under: uncultured bacterium
Lineage: Bacteria
Description: partial 16S ribosomal RNA
Rfam family: Bacterial small subunit ribosomal RNA
Source: RNAcentral